ACGAAUUUAGUAUAAUAUUUACAUUAGAUUUAGGUUCUAAAGAUUUUUGUUCGUU
Molecule: transfer RNA, 55 nt
Filed under: Parastrongyloides trichosuri
Lineage: Eukaryota; Metazoa; Nematoda; Chromadorea; Rhabditida; Strongyloididae
Description: tRNA-Leu
Source: RNAcentral